GGGCCCGCACAAGCGGUGGAGCAUGUGGUUUAAUUCGAUGAUACGCGAGGAACCUUACCAGGGCUUAAAUGUGGUUUGACAGCUUUAGAGAUAGAGUUUUUCUUCGGACAAAUCACAAGGUGCUGCAUGGUUGUCGUCAGCUCGUGCCGUGAGGUGUCAGGUUAAGUCCUAUAACGAGCGCAACCCCCUGUUGUUAGUUGCCAGCGAGUAAUGUCGGGAACUCUAGCAAGACUGCCGGUGCAAACCGUGAGGAAGGUGGGGAUGACGUCAAAUCAUCACGGCCCUUACGUCCUGGGCUACACACGUGCUACAAUGGUAGGGACAGAGAGCAGCCAUUUCGCGAGAAAGAGC
Molecule: ribosomal RNA, 351 nt
Filed under: uncultured bacterium
Lineage: Bacteria
Description: bacterial SSU rRNA
Rfam family: Bacterial small subunit ribosomal RNA
Source: RNAcentral